Molecule: long non-coding RNA, 6600 nt
Filed under: Malus domestica (apple)
Lineage: Eukaryota; Viridiplantae; Streptophyta; Magnoliopsida; Rosales; Rosaceae
Description: long non-coding RNA (MDOM_LNC013348)
Source: RNAcentral
AAUGGAUGGGUGUUUGGUUUUGAUGAAAAGUAAAUUAAACUUAAUUAAAUUACAGAAUUGAUAAAAACAUAAAAUUAAGGUAAAAUGAUAAAUGACGGACUAGCUAGAGGGUUCUUCUCCACACAUUACACAUAUGCAACCUAAAUUGAUUUUCAGUUGUUCUUUCAAUAAAUUGUGAAUCUCAAUACUCCAGAUUAACCGUGAACAGCACUUUUUUAAUCUUCAAGUUUCCUUAAGUUAUUGAAUUGGACGGAAAAACGCAUACAACAAUUCAAAACAUUCUUCAAAAGUCUCCUACGUGAAAAGCACAAUAGCGAUACAAUCAAAGAUCAUUAAACUUUGUGAAAACUAUAAGCAUUGACGAGGCAUUCGUAACUAUGAAAAGCAUGAUACUCUUGCCAAGAAUUUACUUAACGUGAUUGUGACUAGCAACCUUUACUACUUGUGAAAAUAAGUUCAUAACGAUUAGGUGAAAUUCACUUAUAUUCUAGCAUCAAAUUCAUGCAUGUAAAUUAAGCGUGCACUCUCAACCAACAUACACAAAUCAGUUUUUAUACGAACGGAUAAGUAAAUUGAAAUCACAACUUAUGAAAUCACAACCGAAGGUAAUCAAUUCAUAUUACAAAUAUAUUCAUGAUUUCGAAUUAACCUCUAGCCAAAAUAAGUUUAAUUACACAUUAUUAAAAACAGAAAUAAAAGAGAAGUUUGGAAAAAUUAAACCGAAAGAGGAUCUGCUGCGUUCGUGCCCACACUGUGUCUUCCCUUCCUCAAGCUGCAAGGGCAGCACUCUCCUGCGUUUCUUGUCACGCUGCACACUGGCAGCUCUCCUCUCUCUAGCUCUCGCUGACUCCCUUCUCGAGCUGCCCAAAGGGCAGCUCCCCCUUUUCCUUAAUUCCCCCCCAAGACCGCCCACUUCUCUCUUCUGCCAAUCCCGUAUAUAUCCUCAUGCUCCUGACCUCCUCCUUAUUUCUUUUUUUUUCUAUUUUCUGUCAGUGCCCUCUCCACGCUGUCUAUCCUCUCCCUUCCGUUAAUCUCUUUCAUUCCUUCUUUCCUCAUUAUUUCUCUCCCCCGCGUGCUGCUGUCUUUCUUUUAUUUUAUUUCUUUCUUAGCUGUCUCCUGCUUUCUGCUGCAAAGACAGCUUCUCCAAUUCCUCCAGCUGGACUCUCCCCUUUAUUCUUCUUUCAUCUAUUUUUUAUUCCUUUUCUUUUUUUAUUCCUUUCUUUUCUUCUUCUCCAUCCGUUCAUUUCUUUUCUUCUACAAAACAAAACCAUCAUGAUGAUGUUUCAAACAUCAUCAUGACUUAUCAUUAUUAUAUAUAUAUUUUUUAAUUUAAUUUAAAAGCUGAUCUACAAAGACAGUUUUAACGAAUUUAUUACAUAAAAUUUCACUUGUUCUAUUUUUAUUUUCUUUGCAUAACAAAUCCUAUAAACACAAAAAUAACGUAAAUAGCUAAAAAAUAUAAGGAACUAACUAAGAAAAGACGAGUGAAUUUGAAGUAAAAAUAUAUAUAAAUAUGAUCCGAUCAAAUACCCCCAUACUUAGCUUUUGCUAGUCCUCGAGCAAAACAAAGAAAACAUGAGAAAGAACUAACAUGAAAAACAUUAGUUUCCCCCUAUGUGACCUUCAUAGAAUUUCAUUCGAGAAAACAAAUCAUCAAGAACCAUAGCUAGCAUCAAGGAACUAAUCCAAGUUCAUCUUCCUAAUUCAAAUAUUAGCAGUAAUCUUUGAAUCAUCCUUGAAGUGUAGUGUGUGAGAUAGCCAUGCUAAUGCAAUUUCAAGUUUUUAUUUUUAAAAUCAUCAUAUGCAAACUAGCGACUUUCUCACGGGAUAUGCACUCAAUCACACAUGUGUUUAGUUUUAAUGUGUUUCGCUCAAAGAAACAAAUGUGAAAUUUCUACCAUAAGCUUGCAUAAAGAUCACUUCUCCACAGUCAUAAUUGCAAAACUUAAAUCAAGAGGACUUUUAUUGGAUGUAAUGAGGCUUAGGGAUAGGGUUAUUGAAAUGAAAGAAUAGGAAAACACAAGUUCCAAGCUAUAUUGCAAGCAAUUCUUUUGUUUAGAUUUAUAAGAACUCAAUUUUCCAGCGAUUCUUCUGAUACCUCCAAUCACACCCUUAAACUGAAACUUUAAAAACUUUUUAUUUUCUUUGUAUACAAUCUUUCUUUUCUUUUUUUUUUCUUUUUUUUUUUUAAAUACAAACAUGAAAUACCCCCACACUUAUUCUUUUGCCCAAACAUCUUCACAAUACUUCACAAACGUUUCUCAUAAGACAAUCUCGCAUUGCUCGCUUGGAAAAGGGUAAGGAAAAAUGUUUCAAGUAUAAGGGUAGACAUAUCUGGUGAUAAGAAAUAAAAGGCUCAACAUACACGGCUCAAAUUGGCAAUCUAAUGAUAUCAUUUUUUUUUUUUGGGAAACAUGGUUAUUUGGGCCAUAGUGGUAAACCUAAUGCCUCUAUCAUUUCCAAGUUCAUGCAAUCAAUGACAAACAUUUCGAAAGAUCGUUACGCAAGUUCUAGAGAUGUAUCUCACAUAAGUUCAUCACACAUGAAAGAAUAGGAGUGUAUGAAAAAUGCACACACUUUCAAUAGGCUCAAAAACUCACAUAGGAAUUAUAUAUGGUCACUAAAUUCACAUAUGAAGCUUUAAGUCAUGCUUUAGUUUCACAUUAACAAGGCUAUGUGCAUUUGGUUUUUCAAAGAUGGUCAAACAUGUACAAAACUAACAAGAGAAUUAGGAAUUUCACAAAACACAUGUUAACUAAGUUCUUGAUGAUCGUGAUUCAAAUUUGAUCUAAUUAUAUCAUUGGGUCGGGAAACUAACAAAAAUCUAAUUCAAAACAAUAAGGGAAACAAGACAAUAUUUUUGGAUUUUUAAAUUUUCCGAAAUUUUUUUUAAUUUUUUUUUUUUUUUUAAAGAAAACAAAACUAAUUAAGAACACACAAAAAAACAACAACACAGAGACAAAUGAAAUUCUGGAGAUUUCUACCCCCACACUUAAACUUGACAUUGUCCCCAAUGUCAGAAAACACUAUAAUGCAAAAAUAAAUAAAAUAAACAAAAUAAUAAAAAAAAAAAAAAUAAAGCAAUUGGACUGAAAACUUCCCUAAUUUGCAGUAAAAUCAAGCGAUGACCCCCAAGCUAAAAUUCUGCAAUCAACUUCAAGGGUGGAAAUAACCAAAAGUUCCUGCAAAGAAAAGAAAUAAUUCAGUUAAGUACGCAAGAAAAUUAAUUAAAAAAAAAUUGCAAACGAAAAAUUGAAAAUUACGAUAAAAGAUAAUGAAUAAAACUAAUAAGUAAUCAUUGGUCGUGCUUGUUGACUUUCCACAGCUUUCCUCUUGAACAGGGUGACACUUAGCUUUUCACUUGCAAGUGAUGAUUUUUAUGAUAUUGUACGGCGAAGCUUUGCUCUUUGGUUAUGUUGCAGUUCCUUAUUUGUUAUCCAAGCAGAUGUGGCAGCUUCUCUAGUUCCUCAGUUCGGACUCCUUCCGCUGGGAUGAUUGUGCAAGCUGCAUUCUUCUCUGCUUGUUUCUUCUGCACAACGGGCAGGCACGAGGGAAAGGUGUUGGUCCUUAUUUCUUUCUUCAAUCUUUCCAAGUGCCCACCUCUUGCUUUCUUUCUCCUUGUCUCUAGCUGAAUUGUCUCCACAUGCUUCGAGGUAUCAUUUUCACUUCCCUUACUGUCCCCCAGGCAGAUGUGGUAGACGAAGAGAAAGCAUAAAAUGAUGAAGAUGAGUACUCGAGAGCAAGGCUAGGUAAGCAAUCAGGAAGGGGUUCCAGGCAGUUGGCUCCAGAUCGGAAGAUUGAUACCAAAUGCUGGCUGAUUGCUCUCUUUCUCCUUAUCGGAAAACAAAGACAAGGAGAAGGACAUGGAGAAAGCAUGAUAUGAGAUACUCUUGCUUUCAACCUUUAUGAUAUGAAAUACUUUUGCUUUGAAUGGGUUUGUUCGCAGGAGUAUCCCAAGGAAUGAGGAACACAGAGUGACUCGAGAGGAUUCUUUGGGAAUGCAUUUUCGGAGAUGAAGAGGUGUUGAGAGGGUGUGCUGAGAGAGUGUGCUUUUGCUGUGGAAGGCGAAGGUAGAAACUUAUAGGACUUGUCUUCACAACCGGAACUGUUCUCUCACUUAGUGUCGGCAGCCGGUGGAUGGGUGAAGAAUACAAAUUACGCGCUUUCUGACAAAGCUGCCCGUAAUUUCCGCAAAGCUGCCAGUUGCAUGUGACAAGUGCUGACUAGGCUGAGAGAGACAGAUGGUUGGAAUCGGCACUUCGACAGAUUGCCCGUGAUUUUCGCAGAGCUGAGUUUGCGUGUGACGGGUGACAACACGUCUGGACGAAUUGAUCUUGCGAAAUCCGGGGUUCGGCUCGUGGUUUCUGAGCAAGCCCAACUUUUAAGAAAUGAACGCCUCUUUUUGAGAAAAAGAAUCCGGCUUUUGAGAACGGAAACUCCUCUUUUGAGAAAAGAAUCCGGCUUUUGAGAAAGGAGCCCCGACUCUUCGAUUUGCGAGAGGACGCAUCUCUGAGGAGCGCCUCUUUGAUUUCUUCUUUUUAUAGAGGCGUUAAUUUUGUUCCACAACACACUUGAGUACCCUCCUGUAAACACUCCCUUCUUGCACUUGUUUUAAUCUUGAUCAUUCCGACUCUCUUCUUUUCUUUACCACCUCUGAAAAAUGUCUGGCCCUUCUGAUCGUCGUUUUGACUUGAACAUUGGUGAAGAGGCAGCUCCGCCUUCACCAGACAACAUAUGGCGGCCAUCCUUCAUAUCCCCUACCGGUCCCCUUACCGUGGGGGAUUCGAUGAUGAAAAAAAUGACAUGACCGCUGCGGUGGUGGCCCGAAACCUUGUCACUCCCAGAGAUAACAGACUGCUCGCAAGGCGGUCUGAUGAAUUGGCGGUCAAGGAGUCUCUGGCUCUCAGUGUGCAGUGUGCGGGUUCCGUAUCCAACAUGGCCCAACGCCUAUAUGCCCGAACCCGUCACGUUGAAUCCUUGGUGGCUGAAAUACAGAGUCUCAAGCAAGAGAUUAAAGGGCUCAAGCAUGAGAAUAAGGAAUUGCACAAGCUCGCACACAGCUAUGCCACCAGCAUGAAGAGGAAGAUUGACCAGAUGCAGGACACCGAUGGUCAAAUUUUACUUGAUCAUCGGAGGUUUGUGGGUUUGUUCCAACAACAUCUGCCUUCGUCUUCUGGAGCGGCACCGCGUAGUGAAGCUCCAACUGAUCAACCUCUGCCGCCUCCUCCUUCUGUGGUCCCGCCGACUGCUGAAGCCCCGCCUACUACUGAAGCACCACCCGACCAAUGAAUACUAUUAGUUUACAUCAUUGUAAAAUAUUUGUACUUUUUUUAUUAUUAUUAUUUAUUUAUUUUUUUUUUUUAUUUUUAUUUUUUUUAUGUACUUUUUUUUUUAUCAUUAAUUUUAAAUUUUAUCUUUUUUUUUUUUUUUUUUUAUUAUAUCAUUUUUUUUAAAUUUUUUUUUUUUUAUUUUUUUAUUUUAUGUAAAUUAAAGUAGAAAGACUUUGGUUAACCUUCCCCCAUACUUAAACUAAAUAACACAAACUCACAGAAAUCAAACAAAUAACACAACUAACUAAACAAAACAAAAUGAAAGCAGUAAAGAUAAGGGUGUAAAAAUGCAAAUCUGAUUGGGUUAGCGAUUCCAAAGUCUCCCUUCGUUGAAUGCUUGGGUUGCCUCCCAAGAAGCGCUUGAUUUAACGUCUUUAGCCGGACGCAUCUUUCCUUUAAAUUUCCCUCAGCUCCAUUUGUGCCUAAAAUCAAAGAAAGAAAAAUAAAUCAAAUAUCAAAAGUAAAAUACACAAACACCAAUAUAAACAUAAACAAAAACAAAAAUAAAAGGAUUAGCAAAGUUACUAAUCCCCGGCAACGGCGCCAAAAUUUGAUGCGUGAAAUUACUUGACACACAAAUUAAACCCUCUUUUUGACAAUUGUAGUAUAGAUGUAAGUAGGGUAUCGUUCUAGGCCGGGGAUUAGGAGGGAUUGCUAAUCUAUUAAAUUAACUUAAAAAUAUUAAAUAAGACUCAAGGACACAAAACUAGGCUAAAAACUCUAAUAACUCGAAACACACUUAAAAUGAUUCAAAAUAAUGAAAACAAUCAAAUUAAACACUAGGACUGAAAUGGACGGAAAUUAAAUUAAAAGACUAACAAUAAAGAAAACUAACUAAAUAAUAUAAUUUAAUAAUGGAUGGGUGUUUGGUUUUGAUGAAAAGUAAAUUAAACUUAAUUAAAUUACAGAAUUGAUAAAAACAUAAAAUUAAGGUAAAAUGAUAAAUGACGGACUAGCUAGAGGGUUCUUCUCCACACAUUACACAUAUGCAACCUAAAUUGAUUUUCAGUUGUUCUUUCAAUAAAUUGUGAAUCUCAAUACUCCAGAUUAACCGUGAACAGCACUUUUUUAAUCUUCAAGUUUUCCUUAAGUUAUUGAAUUGGACGGAAAAACGCAUACAACAAUUCAAAACAUUCUUCAAAAGUCUCCUACGUGAAAAGCACAAUAGCGAUACAAUCAAAGAUCAUUAAACUUUGUGAAAACUAUAAGCAUUGACGAGGCAUUCGUAACUAUGAAAAGCAUGAUACUCUUGCCAAGAAUUUACUUAACG